GACGAACGCUGGCGGCGUGCCUAAUACAUGCCAGUAGAACGCACAGUUUAUACCGUAGCUUGCUACACCAUAGACUGUGAGUUGCGAACGGGUGAGUAACGCGUAGGUAACCUGCCUGGUAGCGGGGGAUAACUAUUGGAAACGAUAGCUAAUACCGCAUAAUAUUAAUUAUUGCAUGAUAAUUAAUUGAAAGGUGCAAUUGCACCACUACCAGAUGGACCUGCGUUGUAUUAGCUAGUAGGUGAGGUAACGGCUCACCUAGGCGACGAUACAUAGCCGACCUGAGAGGGUGAUCGGCCACACUGGGACUGAGGCACGGCCCAGACUCCUACGGGAGGCAGCAGUAGGGAAUCUUCGGCAAUGGACGAAAGUCUGACCGAGCAACGCCGCGUGAGUGAAGAAGGGUUUCGGAUCGUAAAGCUCUGUUGUAAGAGAAGAACGGGUGUGAGAGUGGAAAGUUCACACUGUGACGGUAUCUUACCAGAAAGGGACGGCUAACUACGUG
RNAcentral lists this ribosomal RNA (505 nucleotides) under uncultured bacterium. RNAcentral's name for it is "partial 16S ribosomal RNA". It matches the Rfam family "Bacterial small subunit ribosomal RNA", at positions 28 to 507 of the family's 1533-position model. The record is from RNAcentral.